UACGUAGGUGGCGAGCGUUGUCCAGAUUUACUGGGCGUAAAGGGAGCAUAGGCGGACUUUUAAGUGAGAUGUGAAAUACCCGGGCUCAACUUGGGUGCUGCAUUUCAAACUGGAAGUCUAGAGUGCAGGAGAGGAGAAUGGAAUUCCUAGUGUAGCGGUGAAAUGCGUAGAGAUUAGGAAGAACACCAGUGGCGAAGGCGAUUCUCUGGACUGUAACUGACGCUGAGUCACGAAAGCGUGGGUAGCAAACAGGAUUA
This 257-nucleotide ribosomal RNA is filed under the name uncultured prokaryote. RNAcentral's name for it is "partial 16S ribosomal RNA". It matches the Rfam family "Bacterial small subunit ribosomal RNA", at positions 524 to 780 of the family's 1533-position model. The record is from RNAcentral.